CUCAAAACUGUGAUCUGAAUCUGCCUCCCAUGUUUCAAAUCUCUUUUGUUCUCCCAAAAUCUUUAUGGGUUCUUCAUAAAGCUUCAGCAGGAGGUGCAGAGUAUUUUCAACUCCAGUACAGACUCCUGAAAUUUCAAACAUGCAAAUCAAUUCCAAACACUUGGAUCUUGUGAAGUUAAGCAACCAGUAUUUUGAAGAUUUUCUAAUUUCAGCUUGAGGAAUCUUAAGAACAGAGGCCCUUAGAGUAUUGACAGCCUGCCAUCAAAGAGAAGUGAUGUUCUCACCUGUAUUGCCUGUAAAGUUGCCCCUAAACAGUUGUCACCUGCAAAAUGUGCCCUGCACCAUCAGUAAACUGAGUUCCAGUUGUGCAGGGCCAGGUGGGGUUGAAAUAAUGGAAAAUAUGCUGCAGAGAGAUGUUCCCUAUCACUAGGGGUGAGAGGAGAUGAAGGAGUCUUUCCAGGAGGGUAUAAGAAACACUUGGAUACUGGUGAUCAGGUUCUGAGGAGGUUCUCCCAAUGUCAAGCUGUCCUUGUCCUGGUUUCUGGCCCUGCUAUCCUUAUCAAUGGAGUACACACGUUAGCAGCAGGUCUCACAGAUAUUUUCUGGCAAGACAGUCAGUGCUAAACCCGGAGUUUGGGGGUUUUCCAUGAUUUGAGCAAAAUACAACUGGGCAGUUGGACUCUGCACUCCUGGGCUGCUUCAGUCCAGCUCCUCCUGUCUCCACGUGUGACUUACCUUCUCCCAUCCAUAUCUUUGUCUGGAGGCUCUGCAGCCAUGAUGACAGAGCAACAACUUUCAAGACCAUUUCAGUGCAGAAUAUCAAACAUAUCUGCUGUUACAGAGGGUGCAAGAGUCAUCUCCAAGACAGAAGAUCAGCUGGGAAAUCCAUGGUUACAGAGCUUACCACAGGGCAUAUCUGGAUCUCUGUGUUUGUUAGUGAAGAGCUUUCAUGUUCUAAAGUAAGUAAUUACAACAGGGUGAGUGUGUGUUUUUUACAUAUAGGGAUAAGGCUUUCUUAAUAGACAAAUAGGUGAAGGAUGCACAGCACAGAGAACUUAGUUCUCUAUCAAUAGC
Lepidothrix coronata (blue-crowned manakin) is the source of this 1074-nucleotide long non-coding RNA. RefSeq lists it as uncharacterized. The record is from RefSeq and is a predicted model, not a curated record. NCBI's taxonomy places the organism in Eukaryota, Metazoa, Chordata, Aves, Passeriformes, Pipridae. The transcript has 6 exons.